UGGGGAAUAUUGCACAAUGGGGGAAACCCUGAUGCAGCGACGCCGCGUGAGCGAAGAAGUAUUUCGGUAUGUAAAGCUCUAUCAGCAGGGAAGAAACUGACGGUACCUGACUAAGAAGCACCGGCUAAAUACGUGCCAGCAGCCGCGGUAAUACGUAUGGUGCAAGCGUUAUCCGGAUUUACUGGGUGUAAAGGGAGCGUAGACGGAUAGGCAAGUCUGGAGUGAAAACCCGGGGCUCAACCCCGGGACUGCUUUGGAAACUGUUUAUCUAGAGUGCUGGAGAGGUAAGUGGAAUUCCUAGUGUAGCGGUGAAAUGCGUAGAUAUUAGGAGGAACACCAGUGGCGAAGGCGGCUUACUGGACAGUAACUGACGUUGAGGCUCGAAAGCGUGGGGAGCAAACA
This 402-nucleotide ribosomal RNA is filed under the name uncultured bacterium. RNAcentral describes it as "bacterial SSU rRNA". It matches the Rfam family "Bacterial small subunit ribosomal RNA", at positions 355 to 774 of the family's 1533-position model. The record is from RNAcentral.